AGCGAACGCUGGCGGCAGGCCUAACACAUGCAAGUCGAACGGACCCUUCGGGGUUAGUGGCGGACGGGUGAGUAACACGUGGGAACGUGCCUUUAGGUUCGGAAUAGCUCCUGGAAACGGGUGGUAAUGCCGAAUGUGCCCCUUCGGGGGAAAGAUUUAUCGCCUUUAGAGCGGCCCGCGUCUGAUUAGCUAGUUGGUGGGGUAAUGGCCCACCAAGGCUACGAUCAGUAGCUGGUCUGAGAGGAUGACCAGCCACAUUGGGACUGAGACACGGCCCAAACUCCUACGGGAGGCAGCAGUGGGGAAUAUUGGACAAUGGGCGCAAGCCUGAUCCAGCCAUUGCCGCGUGUGUGAAGAAGGCCCUUUUGGUNUAAAGCCACUUUAAGCGAGG
This 391-nucleotide ribosomal RNA is filed under the name uncultured bacterium. RNAcentral's name for it is "bacterial SSU rRNA". It matches the Rfam family "Bacterial small subunit ribosomal RNA", at positions 29 to 444 of the family's 1533-position model. The record is from RNAcentral.